Molecule: ribosomal RNA, 330 nt
Filed under: uncultured bacterium
Lineage: Bacteria
Description: bacterial SSU rRNA
Rfam family: Bacterial small subunit ribosomal RNA
Source: RNAcentral
UCCGUAGGCGGUGUGGCAAGUCGGAAGUGAAAUCUCUGGGCUUAACCCAGAGGCUGCUUCCGAAACUGCCGUGCUAGAGUGUGAGAGAGGCGAAUGGAAUUGCGGGUGUAGCGGUGAAAUGCGUAGAUAUCCGCAGGAACAUCCGAGGCGAAAGCGGCUCGCUGGAUCACAACUGACGCUGAGGGACGAAAGCUAGGGGAGCAAACAGGAUUAGAUACCCUGGUAGUCCUAGCCCUAAACCAUCAGGACUUGGGGUUUGCCCUGUACGGGGCAAGUCCCGUAGCUAACGCGUUAAGUCCUGCGCCUGGGGAGUACGGUCGCAAGGCUGAA